This 253-nucleotide ribosomal RNA is filed under the name uncultured bacterium. RNAcentral describes it as "partial 16S ribosomal RNA". It matches the Rfam family "Bacterial small subunit ribosomal RNA", at positions 524 to 776 of the family's 1533-position model. The record is from RNAcentral.
UACGGAGGGAGCUAGCGUUGUUCGGAUAUACUGGGCGUAAAGCGCACGUAGGCGGCGUCGUAAGUCAGGGGUGAAAUCCCGGAGCUCAACUCCGGAACUGCCCUAGAAACUGCAAUGCUAGAAUCUUGGAGAGGCGAGUGGAAUUCCGAGUGUAGAGGUGAAAUUCGUAGAUAUUCGGAAGAACACCAGUGGCGAAGGCGACUCGCUGGACAAGUAUUGACGCUGAGGUGCGAAAGCGUGGGGAGCAAACAGG